UAAAUCAGAAUAAUAGAAACUCAAAAGCAAGUUUUUACAGUCAAUGGAGUCAUCGGGAUCUGAAUAUCAUUUGCAUUUGACUGUGGACGGAGAAAGGAUGAGGCUGUCACUGGCUCGGCCAGCAUUUAUUGCUGCGUUUACCCAGAGGGCAGUUAAGAGUCAACCACGUUGCUAUAGGUCUGGAGUCCCAUGCAGACCAGACCAGAUCCCAGUGAUCAGUGCCAAAGCCCCAUUGCCUGUGGAGAGGGUGAUGUUUGAUUUCCCUGUCCAGCUGCAGUUCAUGUGGUGAAGGUGCUCCCACAAUGUGGUUGCGUGGACAUUCAGAUGGUAAUCUCAGUAAUUGUAACGCCAAACUGUGACAAAAUUACUCAAUUCAUCAGGAGCUGGAUAUUCACAUUGUGUGGAUCUGCACUGGAACCCUUCUGUUUGCGGGACAAAUAUAUAUAAGUGACAUGAAUUAAAAUCUAAUUUGAUUUGAUGAAGAUGUGUUGAAAAUGUUUGCAGUUACUGAUCUGCUGAACGAAAAUGACCACUUUUAAACUGAUGAUUGGACUAGAAACCUUUGAGAAAACUUGAAAAUA
Molecule: long non-coding RNA, 581 nt
Organism: Hemiscyllium ocellatum (epaulette shark)
Lineage: Eukaryota; Metazoa; Chordata; Chondrichthyes; Orectolobiformes; Hemiscylliidae
Exons: 6
Source: RefSeq, a predicted model, not a curated record